GCUGGGUGUGGUGGCUCACGCCUGUAAUCCCAGCACUUUGGGAAGCCGAGGCGGGAGGAUCACCUGAGGUCGGGAGUUCGAGACCAGCCUGGCCAACAUGGUGAAACCCCGUCUCUA
This is an unclassified non-coding RNA of Pongo abelii (Sumatran orangutan), 117 nucleotides long. It matches the Rfam family "Metazoan signal recognition particle RNA". Rfam says of the family: The signal recognition particle (SRP) is a universally conserved ribonucleoprotein. It is involved in the co-translational targeting of proteins to membranes. NCBI's taxonomy places the organism in Eukaryota, Metazoa, Chordata, Mammalia, Primates, Hominidae. The record is from Ensembl.